UCACCUCAGGGUGAAACACUGAAAGACGGUUUCGGCUGUCGCUAUAGGAUGGGCCCGCGGCGCAUUAGCUAGUUGGUGAGGUAACGGCUCACCAAGGCGACGAUGCGUAGCCGACCUGAGAGGGUGAUCGGCCACACUGGGACUGAGACACGGCCCAGACUCCUACGGGAGGCAGCAGUAGGGAAUCUUCCACAAUGGGCGAAAGCCUGAUGGAGCAACGCCGCGUGAGUGAAGAAGGAUUUCGGUUCGUAAAACUCUGUUGUAAGGGAAGAACAAGUACAGUAGUAACUGGCUGUACCUUGACGGUACCUUAUUAGAAAGCCACGGCUAACUACGUGCCAGCAGCCGCGGUAAUACGUAGGUGGCAAGCGUUGUCCGGAAUUAUUGGGCGUAAAGCGCGCGCAGGUGGUUUCUUAAGUCUGAUGUGAAAGCCCACGGGCUCAACCGUGGAGGGUCAUUGGAAACUGGGAGACUUGAGUGCAGAAGAGGAUAGUGGAAUUCCAAGUGUAGCGGUGAAAUGCGUAGAGAUUUGGAGGAACACCAGUGGGCGAAGGCUACUAUCUGGUCUGUAACUGACACU
RNAcentral lists this ribosomal RNA (580 nucleotides) under Lysinibacillus fusiformis. Its description in RNAcentral is "bacterial SSU rRNA". It matches the Rfam family "Bacterial small subunit ribosomal RNA", at positions 183 to 747 of the family's 1533-position model. The record is from RNAcentral. Lineage: Bacteria; Bacillati; Bacillota; Bacilli; Caryophanales; Bacillaceae.